RNAcentral lists this long non-coding RNA (1383 nucleotides) under Salmo salar (Atlantic salmon). RNAcentral's name for it is "lncRNA (ENSSSAG00000110297.1)". Lineage: Eukaryota; Metazoa; Chordata; Actinopteri; Salmoniformes; Salmonidae. The record is from RNAcentral.
GUCGAGAUCAGCAAGCAUAUUUUCAAUAGAUCAUGUGCUCUGUGUUUCUAUACACAAAGAGAUGUAGGAUAUGUAAUGUAUGGAGUCUAACAGUCCAGCAGGCAGCUCUGCUCUAGCCACAGUCUGAUAAUGACUUUUCCCCUGACGGAGAGAGAUAUGGAGAGAGAGAGAGAGAGAGAGAGAGAGAGAGAGAUAUGGAGAGAGAGAGAGAGAGAGAGAGAUAUGGAGAGAGAGAGAGAGAGAUAUGGAGAGAGAGAGAGAGAGAGAUGGAGAUAUGGAGAGAGAGAUAUGGAGAGAGAGAUAUGGAGAGAGAGAUAUGGAGAGAGAGAUAUGGAGAGAGAGAUAUGGAGAGGGGGAGAGAGAGAGAAAGAAAAAGAGUGAAGGAGAGAGAUCGUGAUAGGGAGAGAGAGAGUGAGAGCAUGAGAGAAAGAGAGUGGGAGAGAGAGCAAUAGAGAGGGAGGGAGAGAGCAUGAGAGUAAGAGAGUGGGAGAGAGAGCAAUAGAGAGGGAGGGAGAGAGAGAGAGAGCGAGAGAAAGAGAGUGGGCGAGAGAAUGAGGGAGAGAGAUAGGGAAGGAGAGUGAUAGGGAGAGAGAGGUACAUGAAACAGAAUAUCUGCCAAUGGAGUGAUAGAUGACUUCUAUAUGAACCCUGGUCUGGGCUGCUCUGCUGUGAUCUUGUAUUUAACAAGCCAUCUGACUUCCUGGAGUACGGUACCUAGUGUGACUGGUGGUGCUGCUAACUAUGCUGUCUUUCAACUGCUUACUGAAAGAUUUACAUUACAGAGUAGGAACAUUUCUGAAACUUUCCUUCACGUCUUCCUUCUAUUCGUGUAUGUCUGUGUAUCUGACUAUCUCACCCUCCUCUACCUCAAAGCUACUGAGGAAUAAAGACCAAAGCAGUACUAUUACAGCAGGGGUGUCCAACUCAUUCCAUGGAGGGCCUAAUGUCUGCUGGUUUGGGGUUUCCUUUCAAUUAUGACCCAGACAACCAGGUGAGAGUUCCUCACUGAGACCUAGACAACCAGGUGAGAGUUCCUCACUAAGACCUAGACAACCAGGUGAGAGUUCCUCACUAAGACCUAGACAACCAGGUGAGAGUUCCUCACUGAGACCUAGACAACCAGGUGAGCGUUCCGAACUAAUCAGUGACCUUCUUUUGUCAAUCAAGUAGGAGUGAAAACCCACAGACACUCUGCCCUCCGUGGAAUGAGUUUGAGACAUGUGCAUCACAAGAUGGGGAGGUGGUUAAACCACAGAGAUAAAACAAUCUGUAUGGCUGAACCACAGAGAUAAAACAAUCUGUAUGGCUAAACCACAGAGAUAAAACAAUCUGUAUGGCUAAACCACAGAGAUAAAACAAUCUGUAUGGCUAAACCACAGAGAU